GACGAACGCUCCUUUAGUGCUUAACACAUGCAAGUCGAACGGUAAGGCUCCAGCUUGCUGGGGUACACGAGUGGCGAACGGGUGAGUAACACGUGGGUGACCUGCCCUGCACUUCGGGAUAAGCCUGGGAAACUGGGUCUAAUACCGGAUAGGACCGCACCGUGAGGGUGUGGUGGAAAGUUUUUUCGGUGUGGGAUGGGCCCGCGGCCUAUCAGCUUGUUGGUGGGGUAAUGGCCUACCAAGGCGGCGACGGGUAGCCGGCCUGAGAGGGUGGACGGCCACAUUGGGACUGAGACACGGCCCAGACUCCUACGGGAGGCAGCAGUGGGGAAUAUUGCACAAUGGGCGGAAGCCUGAUGCAGCGACGCCGCGUGGGGGAUGACGGCCUUCGGGUUGUAAACUCCUUUCACCAUCGACGAAGGGUUUCUGACGGUAGAUGGAGAAGAAGCACCGGCUAACUACGUGCCAGCAGCCGCGGUAAUACGUAGGGUGCGAGCGUUGUCCGGAAUUACUGGGCGUAAAGAGCUCGUAGGUGGUUUGUCGCGUCGUCUGUGAAAUUCCGGGGCUUAACUCCGGGCGUGCAGGCGAUACGGGCAUAACUUGAGUACUGUAGGGGAGACUGGAAUUCCUGGUGUAGCGGUGAAAUGCGCAGAUAUCAGGAGGAACACCGGUGGCGAAGGCGGGUCUCUGGGCAGUAACUGACGCUGAGGAGCGAAAGCAUGGGGAGCGAACAGGAUUAGAUACCCUGGUAGUCCAUGCCGUAAACGGUGGGCGCUAGGUGUGGGUUUCCUUCCACGGGAUCCGUGCCGUAGCUAACGCAUUAAGCGCCCCGCCUGGGGAGUACGGCCGCAAGGCUAAAACUCAAAGGAAUUGACGGGGGCCCGCACAAGCGGCGGAGCAUGUGGAUUAAUUCGAUGCAACGCGAAGAACCUUACCUGGGCUUGACAUAUACAGGAUCGCGCCAGAGAUGGUGUUUCCCUUGUGGCUUGUAUACAGGUGGUGCAUGGUUGUCGUCAGCUCGUGUCGUGAGAUGUUGGGUUAAGUCCCGCAACGAGCGCAACCCUUGUCUUAUGUUGCCAGCACGUUGUGGUGGGGACUCGUAAGAAACUGCCGGGGUUAACUCGGAGGAAGGUGGGGAUGACGUCAAAUCAUCAUGCCCCUUAUGUCCAGGGCUUCACACAUGCUACAAUGGUCGGUACAGUGGGUUGCCAGUCCGUGAGGGCGAGCUAAUCCCGCAAAGCCGGUCUCAGUUCGGAUCGGGGUCUGCAACUCGACCCCGUGAAGUCGGAGUCGCUAGUAAUCGCAGAUCAGCAACGCUGCGGUGAAUACGUUCCCGGCCC
This 1340-nucleotide ribosomal RNA is filed under the name uncultured bacterium. Its description in RNAcentral is "partial 16S ribosomal RNA". It matches the Rfam family "Bacterial small subunit ribosomal RNA", at positions 28 to 1380 of the family's 1533-position model. The record is from RNAcentral.